GUCUGUUUGUAGCUAUAAAAAGUCUGAUCUGCCCACUGAUAAGUUUAAAGGGCCGCGGUAUUACUGACCGUGCAAAGGUAGCAUAAUCAUUAGGUUUUUAAUUGAGAUCUUGUAUGAAUGAUUAGACGAGAAAAAAACUGUCUUUGUAUUGAAUUUUGAAUUUAACUUUUAUGUGAAAAGGCUUAGAUAUUUUAAGGGGACGAUAAGACCCUAUAAAACUUUACAUUGAUACUAUAUUUGAUUGAUUUUUAUAUAAAGAUUUAAUAUAGUUAUUUGUUAUGUUGGGGAGAUAAUAGUAAAAUUUGUAUUAACUGCUAGUUUAUAAAACAUUUAUAAAUGGGUAUAUGUUAUAGAUCCAUUAUAGUGAUUAUAAGAGUAAGUUACUUUAGGGAUAACAGCGUUAUUCUUUUUGAGAGUUCAUAUCGAAAAAAGAGAUUGCGACCUCGAUGUUGAAUUAAAUUUUCUAUAUAAUGCAGGUGUUAUAUAAGAAGGUCUGUUCGACCUUUAAAUGUUUACAUGAUUUGAGUUCAAACCGGCGUGAGCCAGGUUGGUUUCUAUCUCUUAAAAUAGUAAAAAUUAUUUUAGUACGAAAGGAUAAA
This 599-nucleotide ribosomal RNA is filed under the name Sudanonautes africanus. RNAcentral describes it as "partial 16S ribosomal RNA". It matches the Rfam family "Archaeal large subunit ribosomal RNA", at positions 1921 to 2765 of the family's 2987-position model. The record is from RNAcentral. Lineage: Eukaryota; Metazoa; Arthropoda; Malacostraca; Decapoda; Potamonautidae.